UACGAACUGUGCGAACGUUAUUCGGAAUCACUGGGCGUACAGGGUGCGUAGGCGGCUCAACAAGUCAGGUGUGAAAGCCCCCGGCUCAACCGGGGAACUGCGCUUGAAACUGUUAGGCUCGAGUCAGCUAGAGGUACACGGAACUUCCAGUGGAGCGGUGAAAUGUGUUGAUAUUGGAAGGAACACCGGAGGCGAAAGCGGUGUACUGGGGCUGGUCUGACGCUGAGGCACGAAAGCCAGGGGAGCGAACGGG
This 253-nucleotide ribosomal RNA is filed under the name uncultured bacterium. Its description in RNAcentral is "partial 16S ribosomal RNA". It matches the Rfam family "Bacterial small subunit ribosomal RNA", at positions 524 to 776 of the family's 1533-position model. The record is from RNAcentral.